ACGCCUCAAUGAAAAUGAUAUAUUCUACCGCAUACCGUUAGAGGGCGCCAAAUACCUCGGAUUACCUACCUUGUAUGAGGUAAAGGGCGAUAUACUUGUUGAUUUUGGGUUUUGACCCAACUGCUUACGAAUACGUUGUAAUUGGGGGAAUGAUAAUAAGUGAUAUAUUGUGAUUAUGAAUAUUACAGUUAUUAUAACCGCAGAGGAAUUAGGCUGGUAGGACUAAGAACUCUUCCUCACGCAUCACUUGACUCAUAAAACCCAAGGACGUCCAGGCCACGGAGUGUUAGGCCUACCAGGUGACUGAAAGAUGCACCUGAAUCGGUCUGACGAACGCAGUUUUGACAUCUCGGAGAAGUUUGGGUGUGAACGGACCACGGCAAACUCAGCACCAGAACGCACACGUACCACUCCAUGUCCCCAAAGCCCUGAGGGGAAGUUGGGAGACAAAGUCACCCUCCGAGUUCAGGACGCGGACUGCCUGACCGCCGCUCCUCGUCGCCAGCUCUCGUUGAAAACGAAGGCCCGCCGGCUUCCUUUCCCGCUCGAUAAACUUUGGUGUGACCGUACGGUAGGUAAGACAUAAGAUGAAAUUAAUCAUACAAACAGAUUCCCUGGACGGAGGCAACAACAACACCGUGACUGAAAAUCCUCGAGCCUGAAGUUCAAGGUUAUUUACAUGGUAGUUUAGCAGCCUUGUUCUUUUCCCUAACCAAGAUUUUUAAAAAUCAUUAAUCUCUUCCUGAUUUUAGUCUAUGUACUAUAUUAUACAUUUGAAGUCAAACAGGGACAAAAGUUCUAAAAGCAGAUCUGAUAUUAAGGUGUUCAGAUGAGCUCGACUACUCUGAAUGAACUAAUAUUUUUUACAAAUAUUUGUAACCUCAUGAUGUUUAAUAAAAGCCAGGAGAGAUGGUCAGGAUGGUUUAAUAAUCUUAUUUUUAAUAAUUCAAGAAUGACUACAGGAACACUGCAGACAUUGAGGAUCCAGCACCUUCCGGCAAGGAAUCAUAAAGCCUAGCUACUAAACAGCUGGGGACAAGUCUUCCUAUUAGAAGUGUAUCUCUUUCUAGAUUCCCAUGGCCAUUCUUUCAAAAAACUUUUUGUAAGAGUGCCUUUCAGAUAGAAGUCACACCCCCACACAGAAUGUUAUUCAUUUUCUGUCCCUUCAGGAUGAGAUUCGCUACCUUGUGAAUGUUCACUGCCUCUGUCCGAACGUGUAUUUACAUUUCACAGUUACCUAGAGACCUCUGCAUAUCUCAAAGGAAUCUCAAUACUCCCACAUAUUGACACAUCAACAAUCAGAAACGCAGAUAUUAGAGGAUGCUUAUGCAAUACUGUUUAACUAAAAGUAUAUUAAGAAUUGUAUCAUUUGUAGUCAAUUUAUGACAUCACUAAAUGUCACAUUUUUCAAUAAAGACCUAAUUUGAAAUAAAAGAAUGACACUGAUUCACCAUGGCUCUCCCCAUCAAGGGAUUCUUUCCCCACAUAUCAGUAGCCAAAUGGGGGAAAGAUCUUGAUACAAGGUCUGCCGCUGCGGCCAUAAUGUUGUUAUUUUCAUGAGUUUAUGAUACAUGAUCAUCCCAUCAUUUUGUGUAACAGUGAUGGGUGCGGUAAGAACAGGGUUACAUCCUUCGAACCGUGCGUUGCACUUUCUACUUCAGGGUUUCCUUCUGCCUACGGUUGACAUCCCUUGACCCGUCCCGUGUUUGAGGAAGAUAACAUCACCAAUCUGCUUUUCAGAGGCACACGAUAUACAUAAUCAGAUGGUCACCUGCUUCCCUUCCCAGCUUUCCUUUGUCUGUAUCCGCCGCAGUGUGAUCAUCAUACGUCACGCGGGGCGCGUGAAAGCGUUUUACAAUUCAUUCCUUUUCCUCAGCAGCAGUUUUUUUAAACACCUAUCACAGCGUUGUUGAAUGGAAAUCUCAGCUGCACUCCUUAUAGUUCUGUGUCUCUUUUUGUCUUUGUGGUUUGUACCUGCAUGCUGCUUGUCCUCAAGUGAUUCACUUAAUCUUGUUGUGAUAUAUCCAUCUAUCUUACACUCAUGUUGGUACAUAAAUAGAAACUUCAUUACCAGAGAGAAGAUUUAAUUAAGGCUCAUCAGAAAUGAAGGAGAGACCAAAGACCCCUUGAUGUGAUUGUUUUAGAUUUACCAAAUGAGGGCUAUUGCUAUGCAACAAAAAAAGAGACAAAGGAUUCGCGGAGACAAACUCUCAGGGUCUUCAUAUUUCCGUCAACUUACUUCUGAGAGGAAUUGGCCUUCGGGUUGUCACGGCAACGCAAUGCGUAGCUAGAUGGAAAAGAAUUAGCUUCGACAAUGAAAAAAUAAAAUAAGAAUAAAAGGGGGAGAGAGAGCGAGAGAGAGACGAUCUGAGAAGAGGCUGGUUAGUCAGAAGCCGUAGUAUGUGACCAUGAUACUGUAAUAUAUUUGGCCCCAGAAGCACAAUAGCUACAAUAUCUGAUUUAUUAUUCUCUCUCACAGACACAGACACACAUGGGCACACACACACACACAUACACACACUGUGUGUUGUUUACUACUCAGGGCCAUUGUACACCCACCAUGUCAAACAAAUAUCCCUGCAAACAUAGACAGAAUCAUAUUCUGAUAAUGUUAUUUCCUAACUGUAAUGUUCAAGUAUCAAUUAAAGCAUUUAUUUGGCAUCAAUACCUUAUUUCAAU
Molecule: long non-coding RNA, 2679 nt
Organism: Gadus morhua (Atlantic cod)
Lineage: Eukaryota; Metazoa; Chordata; Actinopteri; Gadiformes; Gadidae
Exons: 4
Source: RefSeq, a predicted model, not a curated record